GCACCACAAGGGGUGAAGCCUGCGGUUCAAUUGGACUCAACGCCGGGAAACUUACCAGGGGAGACAGUAGAAUGACGGUCAGGUUGACGACCUUACCUAACGAGCUGAGAGGAGGUGCAUGGCCGUCGCCAGUUCGUGCUGUGAGGUAUCCUGUUAAGUCAGGCAACGAACGAGAUCCGCGCCUUUAUUUGCCAACAAGAAGUCACGACUUCGCUGGGAACACUAAAGGGACCGCCUUCGAUAAGACGGAGGAAGGAGCGGGCAAAGGCAGGUCAGUAUGCCCCGAAACCCCUGGGCUACACGCGGGCUGCAAUGAUAUGAACAAUGGGCAGUAACUCCGAAAGGAGAAACCAAUCCCGAAAUCAUAUCUCAGUGGGGAUUGUCGGCUGUAACCCGCUGACAUGAACGUGGAAUCCCUAGUAAUCGUGUGUCAUCAUCGCACGGUGAAUACGUCUCUGCUCCUUGCACACACCGCCCGUCGCUCCAUCCGAGUAUGCUAAAAAUGAGGUUUGGUCAAACUGGUCAUAUCGAGUUUCUAGUAUGCGAGGAGGGAG
RNAcentral lists this ribosomal RNA (554 nucleotides) under uncultured archaeon. RNAcentral's name for it is "bacterial SSU rRNA". It matches the Rfam family "Archaeal small subunit ribosomal RNA", at positions 876 to 1429 of the family's 1478-position model. The record is from RNAcentral.